CUUUCUUUUACAUAAUAUAUCAAACAACACUUAAGAAUCCUCUUUUCUAACACUUUGAUGGCAAAAACGAGUUCUUAAUAUGCCGGAUCUAAAAAGUAAUUUUGACGCGUCUGAUUGGAUCAACGGUGUAUUUGACCGAAUUAGCGGUGGUAUGUCUGAUCGGAUUAGCGAUGGCGCGUUUGACCAACUUAGCGGCCGACAGUUUUUCUGGAUAGGUCGAACUCUUGGAAGAAAAUAGAAAAGGAAGACCGAGUGGGAUCAAAGAAACUAGCGGGCUGAUCACUAAAAAAAUACAAAUAGGUGCAAAUUCUGACAUCACCACAGAAAACUUGGUUCUUUCACUCCUUGCUGGCGGAGUAAUUUCACCAGCACUUCAUCUGGCUAUGUUAUCACCAACGAUUACCUACAAGCUCAUCUCUUAAGCAUAUAGGCUUAGAGGUUGACCCUCUACGUAAAGACUUCAAUCAGCAUGAAACCAUCAAAAAUAUCUUUAUGGAGUGCUCUCGCACACUAGACUUAUGGGAUAGGACGAAUAUGCUAACUCAUAUUGAGCCUCUACAUUUAUCUGGAUAUUGAAGAAUAGCUGAAAUGGACAUGGAAAAUGAUAGAGUUAUCUUACGCAGAGAUCUUCUGAGGGAGUUGGGGAACUCAAUGAUUCUCCAUGAAGGAAGGAAGCUUAAUGGAGUUGCAGACUUGCUAACUAAGGAGGGCCGGAAGAAGAAAACUAAGCCCCUUUUUGACGUAUGGACACUAGUUUUACUUUUGUUUAUUCAUAAAAUGCUUAGAAUAGACAAGGAAGCAACUUAUUUUGCAGGACAAUAUAUACCCGUAGUGUCUGAAUUAUAUAAUAAUAGCAGUAGGCUAAGACUAUCUUCGGAUAGUAUCACUAACGCAACUGUUGUAUGAUAAAUUCUCUUUCUACCAAAAAAAAUUAUGUCUUAUAA
Molecule: long non-coding RNA, 944 nt
Organism: Capsicum annuum
Lineage: Eukaryota; Viridiplantae; Streptophyta; Magnoliopsida; Solanales; Solanaceae
Exons: 2
Source: RefSeq, a predicted model, not a curated record